RNAcentral lists this transfer RNA (59 nucleotides) under Haemaphysalis sulcata. RNAcentral's name for it is "tRNA-Leu". The record is from RNAcentral. Lineage: Eukaryota; Metazoa; Arthropoda; Arachnida; Ixodida; Ixodidae.
UUCAGCUUGGCAGAUAAAUGCAAUAAAUUUAGAAUUUAUUUAUGAAAAUUCAGUUGAAA